This is a long non-coding RNA of Cyprinus carpio carpio, 1754 nucleotides long. The record is from Ensembl. NCBI's taxonomy places the organism in Eukaryota, Metazoa, Chordata, Actinopteri, Cypriniformes, Cyprinidae.
AGAGAAAACAUUUUUAGAACAACAUUCUUAGAGCAUUCAAUUUUAUUUAAUGUAAUUUCUAAAUUAAUUAAUUGCUAAAUGUUAUUAUGGUGUUAUCCUAAAACAUUCUGAUAACAGCAUGUCCUUAUAGUUGCAGGCUACUUUAUGAACGUUAUCAUAAUGUUGGGAGAAACUUCUUACUUAUAGGCUAUAUAAAACCUAUGAAUAGAAUAGAAUAAAAUAAAAUAGAAUAUGAUAGAAAAAUAAAUGUAUUUAAAUAUGAAACUACAACCUGGAGUAGGUGGUGGCUAAUCGCCUGAAUGUAAUUUAUAAUUAUUAAUUAUAUAUCUUUUAUAAUUUAUUUAAGUCACUUAGGCAUAUUAAGUGAAUGGCAAUCACUGUAAAAGUGAAAUUUGCUAAAUUAAGUUAAUUCAUUUAAGUCAAAAAAUUUAAAAGAUUAUUUCAACUUAAUUUGUGAUUUGAACUCAAAAGCUAUUUAGGUUAAGCAGAACUCAAGCUAAAUAAAUUACUAUAAAUUAAUUUAAUCUACCAUACAAUCUAUGAUUUUUACGUAUAAAUGGCUGACCACAAAAUAUUUAAAAGAGAAAUGAGCAUAAUUCAUGAUUUCAAACAUGUUAAAAGUAGUUAAUUUUACUCGACAAAAUAUUAUCUGGGUGUUUUUCAAAAACCGCGCGCAUUUUUCAGUCAGUCGCGUCCACACUCCGCUCAUCCCCCGCGGGACCGCGCUCACUCGCUCACUCACACUGAUCACAGCAGGACUACUGGCGACGCGGUCACGGAAAAUAACAGCCAGACACAGACAAACGAGUCCCGCAAAGUGUAUUUUUAAGCUUAUGUUAGAGAGAUGGCUGACAGAGCAUCUUCGUCAUCUCUAACCGUCACUCCCGCCACAGAUCUGAAGCGAGUGCAAAGGCAGAGAGGGGCGGUGUGAUGUCAUUGGCAGCAAGAAGGCUGCAAUACUUAUAUGGGCCUGAAAUGAAGAACAAUAUCAGUCAUUCAAGCUAUGAUCCUGGCAGAUCUACUAUCUGAAAAAAGACUCAGCAGAUUUUUUUCAAGACACACAAGAUGGAGCGUGGAGAGACCGGACAGUUCCCACAGUGCUAGUUUUUCAGCACCCACACCCCACACACAAAUUCAUAUAGAAGUUUUCAAUAAUAAAAAGUUUAUAUGAUAGUUUAUAUUUAGCUAUGAAGUUAUAGUUCAUUGUCAUAAAUAUUAAACUAAAUAUUAAAGUCCCCCUGUAGUGAAAUCAAGUUUUUAUGCUGUUUAUUUGUCUUUGUGGUUUUUAAUAUUGCUACAUUACAAUCCAAUAACCAAUCACAUUAAAGAAUCAAUUCCUAUCAUUAGAAUGCAAAAUAUACCAAUACCAGCACAAGACUAAAAAUAAAUUAUAGGAAAAAAAAAAAAAAAACAUUAAGCUGUGGUUUAAUGUGAAUUUAGAUACAAUAUUUGACUACGGGGGACUAAAUUUUUUUUUACAUGAUAUGCAAUUUUCACCAGUCUGUUCAAUGUGUUAAUGAGAUUUUUGAAAGUGAUUAUCUUUAAUAAUUCAGAUACCUGUUGAAAUGCACAUGUAAUUAUAUGCUUGCUCGUAUCUUGAAUGUUGUGUUAAUAAACAUUAUGUUGAAAGAAUGUUGCAACAGUGCUAACCUGAAAAUAACAUUUUAUUAAGCUACACUUUGUAAUGUUCAAAUGAAUGUUUAUAGAAUGUUUUAUUUUUAAGAAAUUGUAAGUGGAAAGAACAUUGUAGGAAC